RNAcentral lists this ribosomal RNA (301 nucleotides) under uncultured bacterium. RNAcentral's name for it is "partial 16S ribosomal RNA". It matches the Rfam family "Bacterial small subunit ribosomal RNA", at positions 509 to 807 of the family's 1533-position model. The record is from RNAcentral.
CAGCCGCCACGGGAAUACGAGGGGGGCAAGCGUUGUUCGGAAUUAUUGGGCGUAAAGGGUGCGUAGGCGGUUCAGCAAGUCUCGUGUGAAAUCUUCGGGCUCAACCCGAAGUCUGCACGGGAAACUACUGGGCUUGAGUAAUGGAGAGGUGAGUGGAAUUUCCGGUGUAGCGGUGAAAUGCGUAGAUAUCGGAAGGAACACCUGUGGCGAAAGCGGCUCACUGGACAUUUACUGACGCUGAUGCACGAAAGCUAGGGGAGCAAACAGGAUUAGAUACCCGUGUAAUCCCUGUCUCUUAUAC